CGGCGUGCACUGUCGGUCGGCGGCUAAGGAGGGGAGGCACCUGCAUCUGGGGCGCGGCGAAUCCUCGCGUGCGCCAGGCCGCCUGGGGUAGUCGCCGAGACUGCGCCGGCCAGCGGGGCCGAAACCUAAUCAGGAGCUGAGCUUUGAUGGCGGCUUCUGGAGGGACAAAGAAGGCGCAGAGCGGUGGGAGGAGGCUGCGAGAACCUAGCUCCCGCCCCAGCCGACGUGCGAGACAAAGGCCCCGGCGCGGGGCUCUUCGGAAGGCCGGGAGGUUCCUGUGACAAUGCGAGUCUGCGCCCCACGCUCCCGCACCGUGAUGCCGAGGCCAAAUGGCUAGAGUGGGCCCAGGCAUCAGCAUUUCUGUUUGGCAGCCGGGCAGUUGUGGUGCACGUUUUGAGGAACUACUAAAGCCUGCCUGUGAUGAAAAAGGCAAAAGCUGACUUCACCAAAAUUACUCCCAGGGAGACUUCUGCAUUUGGCUGGAAGGACAUUUGAGUAAACCGCUGAGGCUGGUGGUUGAAACAUAAUCCUCUAAGGGAGAUCGGUUCCGAUACCCUGAGUUAGGGACGCUUGCCUGGGCAGAGCUAAGGGGAGAAUGAUCAAAAGCCAAGCUCUGUCCCCGUCAGCACGUCACCCUCCCUCACUGUAAUCCCUGACUGUUUUCUCUAAAUGAAGAAUUAUUUAGAGAAUAUAAAUUAGAAGGGCCGCCACGUCAGAAUUGCCUGAGUGGGAGCAGUCUUUCCAGCCUCGAAAAAUGUUUAAACAAUAUGCAGAUGACCUAGCACAAAUAAAGAAUGCUAGCAACCGCUGUUAUGUGUGAGCGGUGGAAUUGGGAGGGCUCUUCCCCCAAUCUUCAUCAAACAGAGAACUCAACUGUUAGGCAGAAGGGAGGAAUGUACUGUUGAUAUGGACAGACUCCAAGAAGGGGAGGGACUGCUGGGACUACUAGAACGAGAAUGCCUCUGCCCCUAUGGCUCAGCUCUGCAACUCUCUCUGCACAUUGGCUUCAUGCUGUUAGACCAGCUUCCUCCAUAUGUCUGGAAACAAGGCCACUGACAGCUCCCAACAUUUCAUCUUCUGCCUCAUCAUCAGACAGGCGAGUGCAGUGGCAUAAUCUCGGCUCACUGCAACCUUUGCCUCCUGGGUUCAAGCAAAAACUGGAAUGAUGCAGCUUCAGGCCAAGGAAUGCUGGCAGCCACCAGAAGCUGAAGGACACAAGGAAUGGAUUCUCAGAGCCUCGGCAGGAAAUGUGGCCCUGCCAACACCUUGAUUUCAGACUUCUCAACUCCAGUACUGGGAGGGAAUAAAUUUCUGUUGUUUUAAGCCUCCCAGUUUGUGAUAAUUUGCUACAGCAGCCACAGGAAGCAAAUAAGGAGGGCCUAUUUGGAGGAGGAUGCAAACCCAGCAGUGGGUGAUGAACUAUUCUUACUUACAGCUACCUUAUUCAUUACUAGUCUAGACUUAAGCAUUGACUUCAUCACUGAAAAGGCUGCAGCUGAGCCUAGAGUUUCAGGUUCCUGUGCUGCAUAUGGCUACAGUGAUUCUUAGGUCAGCUCCCUAGGAUGCAGUUGAGUCUCUCUCUAACUGAUGAGUCUCUUUAAAUAUACAGUUGGGGCUGGGUGCGGUGGCUCACACCUCUAAUCCUAGCACUUUUGGAGGUU
RNAcentral lists this long non-coding RNA (1661 nucleotides) under Homo sapiens (human). RNAcentral's name for it is "HSALNT0325190". The record is from RNAcentral. Lineage: Eukaryota; Metazoa; Chordata; Mammalia; Primates; Hominidae.